UGGAGCGCCCUCCCCAUCCUCUCCUGAGCCCAGAAAAUUGAGCUCAUGGAUGGCAUCCGGGGAGUCGUCCUUCCUACUCGUCCUCAUCAGGCUUUUGGGGACAGCUUCAUGCACUGCUUCUGCUGCUGCACACUGUCCAGCUCAUGGUUCUCACGGUCGUCCAUGUCCUCACAAUUCUACAGAAAGGGAAUCCGCUCUAGCACCCAGCCACCAAAGCACUCUGCCAUCUUUGACUGCCACAUUCCUUUUGGUCUAUUCCUGCAUCUUUCACCAGCAGCAACUUGCCGCCGUGGAGCCCUCCAGGGGCCAGCAUGGCCCUGUGGCCCCCAUUCGCUGGACUCUGCGGCCCCGCUGAGCUCCAACCAGUGGCCCAGUAGGGGCUGCACGCGCCUGGACCACACGCUCAUGAUGGUGCCUGUGUGGAGUGCACCUCUUCCAGAUACCUGUCGGAGAAGCUGCUGCCCGUCCUGCCACACCAGUGGGCUGUUCUCCAGUGCGACCAAUUCCACGGGGCCAUUGGACACUUGUGACAGUUCUGGUUUCUUCUCCCCGUGGUUCAGGGAGCAAGGUCACCUGAGCCUGCAAGGGGGCGCUUUCCGCGUGGGAGCGGGCUUUCCUCGCUCAGACUCUUGGCUGGAUAAAGGGUGGAUCCAGCGCGAGCACCAGGUCUCCGGGCUUCCGGGCUGCCUCCGCUUCCGCCUCUUCCUCCACCUCCCUUACCCGCUGGGCCCCGGGACAGGGGCGGGAGGCCAGAGCCACUCGGUCAGACCAGCCCCCGCCAGAGCCAAGAGAAUGGCGGGAGCUGGCGGCCGCCACGUGGGGACCAAUCCCUGCUGUGUCACGGAGGCUUGGACGGCCCGCGCGCCUGCUGUCGGCAUUAGCUAUCCGUUAAUGAGCAGCCACAUGGCCCAGGCUGUGUGCCCAGUGCUCUACGGACCUCUCUCAACUGACAACAAAUCCUCCUAGGUGAGUGCUGUUUUUGUUCCAAUGCUGCAGAUGAGGAAACGGAGGCACUGUUGCCCCUACAGAAAUCGUGAAGGCUCAUCUUCACCCUGAUAUCUUGUAGCCAUCCCGUUUCACGGUGAAGAGCUUUACUCCUCCGGGUUUCUCUUGGCUUGCAGAGAAAGUUCUAGUAACAAAAUCACUGCCAGUCAUGCUUCCACAGAGGCCAAAAUUCUAUCCCUACGUUCCAGUCCAUCUAUCCAUCCUGCCAGAGAAUAUACUUGUUUUCAUGGAGACCUGGAAAACAGCUACUCCUGUAUUUCGCAAAUGUGACCACUAAAGAACCCCAGGAGGUGGAGGAAAUAUGAAGGGACCAUCUAGAACAGAGGAAAGAACAGAUGCCACAAGGAACCACUGCUGGUCAUUUAGCCUUUCUGCACAUCCUUAAAAGUAAUCUAACCCAUCUCUAGUCUACUUUCGGGCUCCAGUUAACCAAGAAGCUGACAUUUACAGUCAUGAAAGCUCCCUCUGCUGAAACCAUUAGAAAACCAGGGAGAGGCCAUCGGAGAUGUCGACAUUUCCUUGGUUCCCAGAAGCAGCAACAUUUUUAUUCCCUUCAGCAGCUUCUUUCAGGUAUUCCACAGCUGCAGCCACCAUCAUGAAAGCACCCUUUCAUCAAUUCACCAGAGAAAAAUGUUCUCCACUUCUAAGGACAAAGCCCUAUGAAUGAACUCAGAUCAAAGGACAGAGGCUUCUUCAGGCUCCUGGUGGACCCAUGCUAACUGCUUUUCAACAAGUCCUUGUCAAUAUGUUCUCAUUAGCAAUGUAUGAAAAUGUCCGUGUCUCAACACCCCUCCCUCCUUACAGCCAGUAUCUGAAAGAUGUAUCACAGAAUAUUAAAAUUCAAACAAUG
Molecule: RNA transcript, 1855 nt
Organism: Hyaena hyaena (striped hyena)
Lineage: Eukaryota; Metazoa; Chordata; Mammalia; Carnivora; Hyaenidae
Exons: 6
Source: RefSeq, a predicted model, not a curated record